This 1499-nucleotide ribosomal RNA is filed under the name uncultured bacterium. RNAcentral describes it as "bacterial SSU rRNA". It matches the Rfam family "Bacterial small subunit ribosomal RNA". The record is from RNAcentral.
UAGAGUUUGAUCAUGGCUCAGGAUGAACGCUAGCGGCAGGCUUAACACAUGCAAGUCGAAGGGCAUCGCGGGGAGUGCUUGCACUCCCUGGCGGCGACUGGCGCACGGGUGAGUAACACGUAUGCAACCUGCCCUCCACAGGGGGACAACCUUCCGAAAGGGAGGCUAAUCCCGCGUAAAUCUCGAUGGGGCAUCCCAUUGAGAGGAAAGCUUCGGCGGUGGAGGAUGGGCAUGCGGCGCAUUAGCUAGUCGGCGGGGUAACGGCCCACCGAGGCGACGAUGCGUAGGGGUUCUGAGAGGAAGGUCCCCCACACUGGUACUGAGACACGGACCAGACUCCUACGGGAGGCAGCAGUGAGGAAUAUUGGUCAAUGGGCGGGAGCCUGAACCAGCCAAGUCGCGUGAGGGAUGACGGUCCUACGGAUUGUAAACCUCUUUUGCCGGGGAGCAAGCGUGCGUUCGUGAACGCGCGUCGAGAGUACCCGGAGAAAAAGCAUCGGCUAACUCCGUGCCAGCAGCCGCGGUAAUACGGAGGAUGCGAGCGUUAUCCGGAUUUAUUGGGUUUAAAGGGUGCGUAGGCGGGAUGCCAAGUCAGCGGUAAAAAAGCGGUGCUCAACGCCGUCGAGCCGUUGAAACUGGCGUUCUUGAGUGGGCGAGAAGUAUGCGGAAUGCGUGGUGUAGCGGUGAAAUGCAUAGAUAUCACGCAGAACUCCGAUUGCGAAGGCAGCAUACCGGCGCCCUACUGACGCUGAGGCACGAAAGUGUGGGUAUCGAACAGGAUUAGAUACCCUGGUAGUCCACACAGUAAACGAUGAAUACUAAUUGUUCGGGGAGAAUGAUCCCUGAGUGAUACAGCGAAAGCGUUAAGUAUUCCACCUGGGGAGUACGCCGGCAACGGUGAAACUCAAAGGAAUUGACGGGGGCCCGCACAAGCGGAGGAACAUGUGGUUUAAUUCGAUGAUACGCGAGGAACCUUACCCGGGCUCAAACGACACAGGAAUACUUUUGAAAGGAGGUAGCUCUACGGAGUCUGUGUCGAGGUGCUGCAUGGUUGUCGUCAGCUCGUGCCGUGAGGUGUCGGCUUAAGUGCCAUAACGAGCGCAACCCCCAUCGCCAGUUACCAGCAAGUCAAGUUGGGGACUCUGGCGAGACUGCCGGCGCAAGCUGUGAGGAAGGCGGGGAUGACGUCAAAUCAGCACGGCCCUUACGUCCGGGGCGACACACGUGUUACAAUGGCAGGUACAGAGAGAAGCAAUGCGGCGACGCAAAGCGGAACUUGAAAGCCUGUCUCAGUUCGGAUUGGAGUCUGCAACUCGACUCCAUGAAGCUGGAUUCGCUAGUAAUCGCGCAUCAGCCAUGGCGCGGUGAAUACGUUCCCGGGCCUUGUACACACCGCCCGUCAAGCCAUGGAAGCCGGGAGUGCCUGAAGUGAGCAACCGCAAGGAGCGCCCUAAGGUAAAACUGGUGACUGGGGCUAAGUCGUAACAAGGUAGCCGUAA